AUACGCGAAACGGCACCGGAUCAUAUCAGAACAUAAACAAGACGAAAUGAUGGAUGUGCCUAAUAUUGUGAGCGAAAAAGUCAACAAGACCGCACUGAAACGGAAGAGAAAAUCGUCUCUGUGGUUACAUCAACCAAAAAAAAACUAAAUUCCGCGAAGAAAACUUACCUGCAACAGUACCUUCCACAUCAACAAGUAAAUCCGAUUCUGAGGCUGCAUUAUGUGAGAAACCAGAGUGUGUCCCAGCACUCCUACCUUAUUUACUUUACUAGACUCACGAAAUUUGGGACACAUUUUGCAAAACCGAAAUCAUGCAUUUGAUUCACCUACGAGGCUUGGAAAAAGACAACGAAAAUCGAAACGGUCAGAUAUCAGCAGACGGCAUGAGGUCGCAAGGGGCUGUUUGCCAAUUCGCAGCCACCACAAAUGCGAUGAGUCAAAGAUUCUGCCAACCACUCGUCUUGGUAUAACGUUGGAGGACACUAUGAAAGUGUAAAUUGUAUUAUGUCACCACAUUAGGAGAACAAAGUGUUCAUCACGGAACAGAACGAACUACUAUGUCACUAUUAAAAUAGUUGAUUAAAUAAAGGUCUUAACAUGGCAGUACAUACCUAACGCGGUGUUCGCAUGUGGUGCACUGUUCCUGUUCUAUUUCAACGACCAUUAGACAGUUGAAUUAAACUUUCAAUUUUAUCAACAUGUCCAAUGUAUUUUAUGAAAAUUUGGAGAAAGUGAAAUCUAAUAUCGCAAUAAUAACUACUAUUUGUUUCAACUUACCUUUUAGGGGUUUCGAAUGUAAUUUAGCAAAAAGCAUUUAAAUGAAUAUACAUUUGUAGUUUUUUUGAACGAGUCCCCCCUUCCAAUAUCAGCAAUGUGAUUUGAAUGUGCUCGCUACUUAGGCUUGUGUAUUGACAUAAAACAUAUUGUUUUGACAAGUGACAGGUUGUUAUAUGAUCUUUGGAUGUUUCAAUACACAGGAUAUUGGUUUUUUGAAAC
Molecule: long non-coding RNA, 996 nt
Organism: Dreissena polymorpha
Lineage: Eukaryota; Metazoa; Mollusca; Bivalvia; Myida; Dreissenidae
Exons: 3
Source: RefSeq, a predicted model, not a curated record